UACGUAGGGUGCAAGCGUUGUCCGGAAUUAUUGGGUGUAAAGAGCUCGUAGGCGGUCUGUCGCGUCGGCUGUGAAAACCCGGAGCUCAACUCCGGGCCUGCAGUCGAUACGGGCAAACUGGAGUGUUGCAGGGGAGACUGGAAUUCCUGGUGUAGCGGUGAAAUGCGCAGAUAUCAGGAGGAACACCGGUGGCGAAGGCGGGUCUCUGGGCAACAACUGACGCUGAGGAGCGAAAGCGUGGGGAGCGAACAGG
Molecule: ribosomal RNA, 253 nt
Filed under: uncultured bacterium
Lineage: Bacteria
Description: partial 16S ribosomal RNA
Rfam family: Bacterial small subunit ribosomal RNA
Source: RNAcentral